UCUGGUUGCCACCCUGCGACAGGGAUACCAUACAUAAUUUGUAUUUACUUCUUAUCUGGAUUAGAACAUAACAUUGGAUAUCUGUGUUUUUAGAUAAAGAAAUAGUGGUUGUAAUAUGGUGAUGAUCUAGCCCCUGCAGGGUUACCCUAACCGAUGAUCGAGAUGGUUCCGACCUUUCUUUUCGACAUGGAUGUAUGGAUUUUGCUUAUAGCAGUUCUAUCACAUUUUGCCGACGUUUCUGCCAUCAAAUGCCUUCAGUGUAACUCGCUGGUGAAUAAAGAAUGCGAGUACGGACGGAUGCCGCCGAAGGAAUGCAAAGGAGAGAGUCAAAAUGCCAAGUAUUGCGUGAAGUAUAUUGGACAUGUAGACAACAAGAAAAUUCCAAAGAUCAGUUUCCGGUACUGCAGCAAAACAUUCGUGGGGGAGGAAUGCAGUGACAAAAACAUUGAAGGUCACGUGGUAAAGGUGUGCUAUAGUACAUGUGAUACUGACGGUUGCAAUGGGGAACCAGAUGGGGAACGAGAUCGGGAACCGGAAGUUCCCAUCGCACUCACAGGUGAUUCGAAAAAUGACACUGACACAAGAAAUGGCGCCGCAACAAGCCGCGAUGUUCUCUUUGUUUUAUGCCUUGCCUUGUUUUUUUCCUUUCCCUUGAAAAGUCUUAACUCGAGCUUGCGGUGACCACGGAUCGAAAGUAUUGAUAUAUAUGUAAUGUUAUGCACCGCCUGAAGCAUCCUGGAUUGGCAUGUACCGCGCCAUCGUCCUCGACAUAACCCCUGGCUGAGGCUCUGACCAGCGUCCGCGCCCUUUUCAUGACAUAAAGCCAUAUAGAUGUCCAUGCACUAUAGUGCCAAACAUUCUCGUCAAAUGCAAACUUUUUUACUUCAAUCCCCCAAUCUUUGCACUCACGGAGGGGAUAUUUUCGGAUGGUCGUAAUAGCCCUUGAUUUCAUUACAAUAAGCAGUUAUAGCUUCAAUAUGUGAUUCAUGUACACUCUCGACAGUGGUUCUUAAUGUUGGAGCAUAUCAUAGGGCCGUUUCUGUCACGAAAAUAUAAUAUUCACCGCUGCAAUUCAUCAAGAAGCGCAACUUGAGAAAAAUUUGCAAAAAGUAUGGCAUUUCAAUUAAAGUCAGACAGCAAUGUUUUUUAGACAAGGACAUAUUGAAUAAACUCGCACCAACCUGGCCAGUACUUCGAGGUUUCUGGCCUUCGUCGUCUUGCAUUCAUGAAUGGAUACGACAAAUUAGGAGUAUCUGCCAUGCGUGAGUUCUGCAGAGAGUAUAUAGAUAAACAUGUGAUUAUUUUUUUCGCAAUUGUAGUCGUGUUUUAAUCAACCUUUAAGAAUUGAGAGUAUGUGGCAAAUACCGUCAUGACUCUAGGAGGAUGCGUUAUUAGUGCGUACUGGCGGAGUCAAUACGGAGAAGUUAAAAACCAGAGGAUUCAUCGUAUCAAGCUUCUUCCUAUAAGAAUGAAAUGGCGUCAUGUUGGCAUAAUCUGAUUGAUUGAGUCUGAUACACACACGUCUCUUGCAAAUAAUUUUUCAAAAUACACCUUAAUGUCAACGUGUCUUGUUAAAAUAUCUCACUCCAUGUAUUAAACAGAUUUCUUUCUACAA
Molecule: long non-coding RNA, 1615 nt
Organism: Lineus longissimus
Lineage: Eukaryota; Metazoa; Nemertea; Pilidiophora; Heteronemertea; Lineidae
Exons: 4
Source: RefSeq, a predicted model, not a curated record